This 367-nucleotide ribosomal RNA is filed under the name uncultured organism. RNAcentral describes it as "bacterial SSU rRNA". It matches the Rfam family "Bacterial small subunit ribosomal RNA", at positions 526 to 896 of the family's 1533-position model. The record is from RNAcentral.
CGGAGGGUGCAAGCGUUAUCCGGAUUCACUGGGUUAAAGGGUGCGUAGGUGGGCAGGUAAGUCAGUGGUGAAAUCUCCGGGCUUAACUCGGAAACUGCCAUUGAUACUAUCUGUCUUGAAUACCGUGGAGGUCAGCGGAAUAUGUCAUGUAGCGGUGAAAUGCUUAGAUAUGACAUAGAACACCAAUUGCGAAGGCAGCUGGCUACACGAAUAUUGACACUGAUGCACGAAAGCGUGGGGAUCAAACAGGAUUAGAUACCCUGGUAGUCCACGCCCUAAACGAUGGAUACUCGACAUACGCGAUACACAGUGUGUGUCUGAGCGAAAGCAUUAAGUAUCCCACCUGGGAAGUACGAUCGCAAGAUUG